This 403-nucleotide ribosomal RNA is filed under the name uncultured bacterium. Its description in RNAcentral is "partial 16S ribosomal RNA". It matches the Rfam family "Bacterial small subunit ribosomal RNA", at positions 28 to 526 of the family's 1533-position model. The record is from RNAcentral.
GACGAACGCUGGCGGCGUGCCUAAUACAUGCAAGUCGAACGCAGUUGGGACGGGUGAGUAACACGUGGGUAACCUCCCAUCAGAGGGGAUAACACUUGGCAACAGGUGCUAAACCGAUACCGUUGGAUGGACCCGCGGUGCAUUAGCUAGUUGGUGAGGUAACGGCUCACCAAGGCCACGAUGCAUAGCCGACCUGAGAGUGUGACAGGUCACACUGUGACUGAGACACGGCCCAUACGCCUACGGGAGGCAGCAGUAGGGAAUCUUCUGCAAUGGACGAAAGUCUGACAGAGCAACGCCGCGUGAGUCAAGAAGGUUUUCGGAUCGUAAAACUCUGUUGUUAGAGAAGCGGUAUCUAACCAGAAAGCCACGUCUAACUACGGGCCAGCAGCCGCGGUAAUUC